Molecule: ribosomal RNA, 483 nt
Filed under: uncultured bacterium
Lineage: Bacteria
Description: partial 16S ribosomal RNA
Rfam family: Bacterial small subunit ribosomal RNA
Source: RNAcentral
AGUGAACGCUGGCGGCAGGCCUAACACAUGCAAGUCGAGCGGCAGCGCGGGGGCAACCCUGGCGGCGAGCGGCGGACGGGUGAGGAAUUCGUCGGAAUCUGCCUUUUGUGGGGGAUAACGUAGGGAAACUUACGCUAAUACCGCAUACGUCCUACGGGAGAAAGUGGGGGACCGCAAGGCCUCACGCAGAAAGAUGAGCCGACGACCGAUUAGCUAGUUGGUGGGGUAAAGGCCCACCAAGGCGACGAUCGGUAGCUGGUCUGAGAGGAUGAUCAGCCACACUGGGACUGAGACACGGCCCAGACUCCUACGGGAGGCAGCAGUGGGGAAUAUUGGACAAUGGGCGCAAGCCUGAUCCAGCCAUGCCGCGUGUGUGAAGAAGGCCUUCGGGUUGUAAAGCACUUUUGUCCGGAAAGAAAUCCCUGGAGCUAAUACCUUCGGGGGAUGACGGUACCGGAAGAAUAAGCACCGGCUAACUUCGUG